CUUAUCGAGAGUGGUGGAGGGACCGGCCCGAUGAAGCCCGACAACCUGCGCAAGCAAGGUGCCAAUUCCGGCGAGCAAUCGACAGAUGAG
RNAcentral lists this non-coding RNA (90 nucleotides) under human gut metagenome. RNAcentral's name for it is "SAM riboswitch (S box leader)". It matches the Rfam family "SAM riboswitch aptamer (S box leader)". Rfam says of the family: The SAM riboswitch is found upstream of a number of genes which code for proteins involved in methionine or cysteine biosynthesis in Gram-positive bacteria. The SAM riboswitch acts at the level of transcription termination control. The record is from RNAcentral.